AUGGGAGCUUCCCUGCAGACGCUUUCUUCUCGUCUGUCGCCAUGUGAGAUGUACCUUUCACUUUCCUCCAUGAUUGUGAGGCCUCCUUAGCCACAUGGAACUGCCCUGGCAAUCACUAUUCCAGUCUCUGCUUCUAUGAGUUUGACUAUUUCAGAUUCCACAUGUAGCAAAUCUGGGGCUACGUUUCUAAGAAUUCCCUUCACUGAAGAGUUCCAAGUUACUGGAAGAAACUUGGAACAAAAGGAGUUCUGCAUGAAUUUUGAAAGGUCUACUGACUCAACAGGCAGUCAGAUAUGUAAGAUGGGUAUAAAGCGGUGAGAGUGAGGACAAACCCAUAAUCAAUGUCUGGAUCCCUGAUGAACUGAGACUCACAUUGAUCUUUCAAUAUGUCCAAGCCUCCAACUGGAAUGAUUUGGUUAUCCUGCAGGAAAUGCUGGAGUCCUUCAUCCGAAUGGUAAAUGGCACUUGUGACAAAAAUCAAAGUAACUAAAAAAGAAUCUGGUUGAAACCUCAGUAACAGUUGGCCUGUCUACUGCCUCACACUAACAAGGGGGAGCUAAUAAAACCGAGGUUAGAACACACAAUGUGGAAAUGAAAACCUUAUUCUUGUCAAUGGAUGGAGGGUGGCCUGUACAAGAAACAUGGUGCCAGCAUCUGCUUCUGGUGAGGACUGCAGGAAGCUUCCAAUCAUGGUCCAAAAAAUGCGGAGCCUGCGUGUCACGUGAUAAGAGAUGGAGCGUGAGAAAGAGGCAGGAGGAGAAAGUGACCCCCACCUUUACAAGUGUCUGUAAUUCUCACUAGCAGUAUAUUAGAGGGCAAAAGAUUUGAACAGACACAUCAGAAAAGAAGACAUACAAAUGGCCGCUAAGCACUUGAAAGGAUUCUGAACACCAUUAGUCAUCAGUGAAAUGCAAAUUAAAGCCAUAAUGAAUGGCGCUAUACAUUUUCAGAAUGGCAAGGAUUGAAGACCGAAAAAAAUCAAGCGUUGAGGAGAGUGACAAAUGGGGAGACAGCCGUGGUGCAUGAUCGCCGAAUAAAUACCAUGUGAGGAUACAGCAAGAAGGUGGCCAUCUACAAGCCAAGGAGACAGGCCUCAGAAGAAACCAACCCUUCUUACACCCUGGACUCAGACUUCUAAUCUCCAGAACUUGUUAAUGCACAAGGUCUUGUGUUGAAAAUGUAGAGCCACGAGAUAAAAGCAGCUUGGAUGGCUGACUCAUAUACAAGGACAACUGCCUGAGAGUCACCAGGGCUAUCAAGAAGUUUGCAGAAACAAGAAAUAAACUUUUACUGUUUUAAACUUUUGUGAAUUUUGGGUUUUGUUUAUCACCAAAUAAACCUAGUCUAUUCUGAUUGUUAUAAGUGGUUAAUUUGGGAAGUCAGAUAUAUUUAAAAUUGGCUUACUGCUGUAACAUAUACAGUCCAAAUUACAUAAUGGCUCAAAUGCAAUAGAAGUCUUUUUUUUUUUUGCUCACAUAUCACUUCACUGAGAUUCUGCAUUAAUUGUAAUGAUGAGGGUGAGGGUGUCU
This 1529-nucleotide long non-coding RNA is filed under the name Homo sapiens (human). RNAcentral's name for it is "HSALNT0066319". Lineage: Eukaryota; Metazoa; Chordata; Mammalia; Primates; Hominidae. The record is from RNAcentral.